ACAUGACCUUUACUCGAUUAGCACAGAAUUUUUUUCUCAGUGGUAUGACAAUUCUAGGUUUAGAAAUCAAUGGAGCUAGAGCUAUAAUUUUGACCUUUAGCACAGCAAAAAGAAAUAAAAAAAUGGUUAUUCUCCCUGACUUUAGAGUGGACAGUGUAAUCAAGGUAGCCGGGCAGCAGGCGCCCGCAAAUUUGACGCCAGUGACAUGCUCCCUGUAGGAAUAAUCAACGCUUCGCUUUUGACGCUCCUCCGAUCCCUGCUAAUAGUUGAUUAAAAAUCUUGUAUCCUGGAGAAGACAGGCAUCAAUCACAUGCAUCAAUGCAUGUAUUUUUUUUUUGUUGUUUCUUUGACAUUUUCUUGCUCUCUGCGUGCAGUUUAAAAAAUUGCGACGCUUUUGACCGACCCCUACGCCACCGUAAAAAGCGUAAGGGAAUCGGGCCACGCAACGCUGCCUGCCUGCCGUUUUAUCGCCGACGGCGUUGACGUGGUUGCCGUCCCCGUCCCCGACAAAGUUACCAGUUAGCUAACGAUAACCAAUCACCUCCUCAUUACUCUCUACGUACUACACGGGCAGGCAUGCAAUAAUCCGUGUCCAUUGUAUGUACUGAUGAGUGCGUGUCUAACCACCUCACCAUGUGCUUAGGGCUUGUUUAGAUGCAAAAUUUUUUGGAUUUUGACACUGUAACAUUUUCGUUUUUUUUACAAACAUUGUUCAAUCAUGAAGUAACUAGGCUUAAAAGAUUCGUCUCGCAAUUUACAGACAAACUGUGUAAUUAGUUUUUAUUUUUAUCUAUAUUUAAUACUCUAUGCAUGUGCCGCAAGAUUCGAUGUGAUGGGGAAUCUUGUAAAGUUUUGGGUUUUUGGGUGUAUCUAAACAAGACCUUAAUUAGCAGGUUCUCGUCAGUCUUCUCAAGCUUCUUUACGCAAGGCCCAAGUGGCAUGGUUAAGUUAAAAAAAGGGUUAGCUUUGCAGCUUCUAGAAUAACCCUCUUGACCCGAAUGGCAUAAGGGCACUCCCAAUGCUAAAAACUACGUGUAGUUUCUAUACCUAUUAAUUUCUAUAGACACUAUG
This 1071-nucleotide long non-coding RNA is filed under the name Sorghum bicolor (sorghum). Its description in RNAcentral is "long non-coding RNA (SBIC_LNC015189)". Lineage: Eukaryota; Viridiplantae; Streptophyta; Magnoliopsida; Poales; Poaceae. The record is from RNAcentral.